Molecule: ribosomal RNA, 2805 nt
Filed under: Triticum aestivum (bread wheat)
Lineage: Eukaryota; Viridiplantae; Streptophyta; Magnoliopsida; Poales; Poaceae
Description: partial small subunit ribosomal RNA
Source: RNAcentral
AUGGAGGUCGCUGCUGGGGCGAUGGGCCCCGUCAUCCGUAAGCUCGGCGAGCUGCUCGUCGGAGAAUACAACCUAGAGAAACGAGUAAAGAAAGGCGUACAAUCGCUCCUAAACGAGCUGGAGAUGAUGCACGCUGUACUUCGCAAGGUUGACGAGGUGCCGUCGGAACAGCUCGAGGAGCCGGUCCGAAUUUGGGCUGGCAAGGUGAGAGACCUCUCUUGCGACAUGGAAGACGCUGUUGACGACUUCAUGGUGCGUGUGGAUGAGGGUCCAAGCAGCAAUCCUACGAACAUGCGGAAUCGAGUCAAGAAGUUCCUCAAGAAGACCACCAAACUGUUUGGCAAGGGCAAAGCACUUCAUCAAAUCAGUGAUGCCAUCAAAGAAGCUCAGGAUCUUGCCAAGGAGUUGGCGGACCUGCGUAGAAGGUACGAGCUUGACACUCGUAGCACUAGCAAUGGUGCUACCAUUGACCCUCGUGUGUUAGCUCUGCACAAAGAUGUAGGGGAGCUUGUUGGCGUUGACCGCACAAGGGAUGAGCUUAUCAAAACACUGAUUUGUGAGGACGGGAGUUCCAAGGAGCAAUUGAAGACCAUCUCUAUUGUUGGUGUUGGUGGGCUAGGCAAGACAACGCUCACCAAAGCAGUCUAUGAGAAGAUCAAAGCCCAAUUUGAUUGCGUGGCUUUUGUCCCCGUGGGUCAGAACCCAGAUAUCAAGAAAGUUUUCAAGGACUUGCUCUAUGACCUUGACAAUGAAAAGUUCAGUGACAUUCAUAAUACAACAAGGGAUGAAAAUCUACUCAUCAAGCAAAUCAGUGAUUUCCUUGUGGAUAAGAGGUACCUGAUCAUGAUCGAUGAUAUAUGGGAAGAAGAAAUAUGGAGAUUUAUAAAUUGUGCUUUGUAUAAAAACAAACUCCAUAGUCGGGUAAUCACAACAACCCGCAAUGUGAGUGUGUCUGAAGCAUGUCUCUCUUCCAGUGAUGACAUGAUUCACAAAAUGGAACCUCUUUCUGAUGAAGACUCGCAGAUACUCUUCCAUAGAAGAAUAUUUCAAAGCGAGGAGAAAUGUCCAGAAGGUUUGCAUGAAGUAUCAAGAGAGAUAUUGAAGAAAUGUGGUGGUGUACCAUUAGCCAUCAUUACAAUAGCUAGCCUUCUAGUCAGUAACCAAAGGAUAAAGCAAAAAGAAGAAUGGAUGCAUGUGCACAGUUCGAUGGGCCGUGGAGUUACACAAGGUGGUAUUGUGAAGGACAUGAAGAGGAUAUUAUCACUCAGCUAUUAUGAUUUGCCAUCUCACCUGAAGCCUUGUUUGUUAUAUCUAAGCAUCUUUCCUGAAGACUCUGAGAUUAAGAGAGAUUGGCUGAUAUGGAGGUGGCUUGCUGAAGGGUUUAUCCUAGGUGACACAGAAGAAACUAGGCUGUUUGAGAUCGGAGAGAGCUACUUCAACGAGCUCAUGAACAGGAGCUUGAUCCAGCCAGCAGAAAUCAAUGAGGAAGGAACAAUAGUAAGUUGCCGUAUACAUGAUAUGGUGCUUGACCUUAUAUGCUCGCUCUCAAAUGAGGAGAAUUUUAUGUCCAUAUUGGAUAAUGCUGAGUGGCAUGCACCUAAUCUGCAAAGGAAAUUUCGUAGGUUAUCACUUCACAAUAUCAAGGCAAAGUGUCGGAACCAUCAGUUUGAUAGCACUAGCCUGUCAAAAGUGAGGACCUUUGCUGUCUUUUCUCCCGUUACUUGUGAUUGGUUGCCAUCUCUCUCAAGCUUCCAAUUUUUACGUGUGUUGGAUCUUGGAAAUUGUGGCAGCCGUAAAAGUAGCUCCGGUAUCAGCCUCAAGUAUGUAGGAAAUUUAAUUCACCUAAGGUACCUAGGGCUCAAGAAUGCAGAUGUUUGCGAACUCCCAAUGGACAUAGGCAAGUUGCAGCUUUUGCAGACACUGGAUAUAAGACACAGUAGUAUAAAAGAAUUACCUUCAAGUGUUGUACAGCUCAGAAAUUUGAUAUGCCUAUGUGUCAAUUUUACAGUGAGGCUGCCAAAAGGAAUGGGUAGCUUGAUGUCCCUUGAAGUGCUGGAACGAGUAGGCUUAUCCUCAUCUCCUCACAUUGUGAAAGAGCUGAGGCAUCUGACAGAGGUCAGGACGCUCGAAAUUGAUUGUGCUAACAUGGGUGAGGAUCUGAUUGAUGUAUUAAUCAAGUCUCUAGGCAACCUGCACAAAUUGCAAAAUGUGUGUAUUGAUGGUCGUGGCAGAUUUAAAGACCGCAUGGGUGAAAGCUGGGUGCCCCCUACAAACCUCCGUAGUUUUGAUUCUCCUUCGUGGUUCUCGCGACUUCCGAAGUGGGUUAAUUCAAUGGCGCUUCCCCUCCUCUCCACUCUGGAAAUAGAUGUGAUAGAAUUGCAAGGGGAUGGCAUUCAGAUCAUUGGGAUGUUGCCUGCUCUUCGGUUUCUGCGUCUGCGUGCACAUCGCGUGAUGGGAACGUUAGCUGUGACGGUCGAUGCAUUCCCAUCUGCGAGAUGUUGCAAGUUCUCCGGGUUCCCCAUGGUGCCGUGCCUUUUUCCACCUGGAGCUAUGCCAAGGGUUCAGCGCCUUCACUUCGAGGUCUCUGCGUGGUCGAUCGCGAGUGGUGAGGUUGACUGUGGCAUGGGCCACCUCCCUUCUCUAGAGAAUGUAGGGGUUGAUCUGAAGCGUGAGAAUUCCAGCGAUGAAGAGAUGGAGACAGCCAAGGCUUGGCUGAGACGGGCGGCAGAAGCCCAUCCAAAACGUCCCCUCCAAACAUCCAUUUUUUUGAUUCAUGGGGCUUCUUGUCUCCUUCGUCGUUCUUGA